AGAAGAAAUCUCACUGGCUUUGCAUGAAAUUCUUAUAUUCUGAUUUCAAUUCUUUGCAUUACGUUAUUUUGAGCCUUAUCCAGUUCAGUACUGAAUUGUUACCUUCCUGAUACAGGAAUACAUUUAAACACAUUUAUCCUCAGAGAAAGCUAAUAAAAUCAGUGGGUGUGAAGAAUUCAGUGGUAUCCAAAAGAAAGUGUGUAUAUUUUCAUUUUAAAAGUCAAAUAAUGCUCUAAAUGCACACAUACAAUGUCUUAUGUGAAAAGACAAAAAAACCAAACAAGAACUUUGAAAUUAUUCUGAUUAUUUUCACAAUUUAUAAAUAUCAAGUUGAACUUGAUGUUACAUGGAGUUUGAAGACACUUGGAAUUUUGCUGCACUUUUAGUCAUUGUUUUUAUUUUUAUUAUUAUUAAUAUUAGUGCUUUCAUGUUACUUAAAGUUUCAAAGCUAAGAGCUAGGAAAGCUUUUUCUUAAUUUGAUGAAAUAAUGAGUUGUGGAUCAAACAAUCUUAAAUUAAUAACAAUGACAAAUGGCUCUGAAACUGCUCUUGAACAUAAAAGGAAACAACUCAAUUAAGCAAAUGUUGUCAUCAAGAACAUCUAUAAGAGCUACACCAGUGAUCACAGCUGUGUAAAUUUUCUCAUCACUGUUAAUAAAAAGCAAAGUUAAAACGCAUAUGAAGCUUUAAUUAAAAAUCUGUAUAAUAUCGAUGUGAUUUCUACAGCUCAAUGCUCAUCAACCAUUUCAAGAUUUAGGUCAAAGCUACAAGAAACCAUAUUAAAAUGAAAGCAAAAAGAAAGAGAGAGAAAGAGAAACAAGAGAGAGGAGGAGUGGAUUAGAAUGUAGUAUAAAGAUGAAGUUUCUGGCAGAAGACGAAGUUUUCAGUAUAUACACAUGGUGCAAAGGAUGGUUGGGAUGACUUGGUGUAAUCUCUUAGGUGGGGCGGCUGUUUAGAGUGAGGCAGAUGCACUAGCUAUCAAAAACAAAAGCAACAUUUCUUGCAGCCUCUUGACACAGCUGAUACUAUUUUCUGUUUGGAUAGGUAGACAUUGCCUCUUGGCUGCUGUUGUAAACAGCCAUACAGUUCUAACUACCAACAGAGCUUGGUCUCCAGGCCAAAUUAAUUUUUUUUUUUUUUUUUUUUUUGUGGUGUACUUUCCCUGUACACUUUCCCUGUAUCACCUAUUGCUCAAGUCUGGGGGAAACAAGCUACAGAUUUUGAAGGUGUCAUGGGAGCAUUUAGCAAGUGAACUGUAGGAAUGGGUGCAAGUAGUGAGCUAAGAACUUCAGUAACAUCUCAUCAGUGGACAAGAGCAGAUAGGUGGACCGGUGCCUGAUCCUGGGGCUUGUGCAGGUUCAGGGAGGCAGCUUAUAUUUGACAAGCACAUCCUCUAGGGCAUAGGCUCCUACAGCUUGAAAUAGGUGUCCAGACUGCUGGGUAUCGCACAUGGCAUGUUGCGAUGUACUCCCCAUGGAGUGUAGGCAAGCAGCUCAGGUAUUAACAUCCAUAUGCUAGAUGUGUAAAAUUGAGUGAGACGAAUACAACAUGGUGAAACAGGAUUGGAUCAGAGAGAAAGCUGAGAGUGAAUGAGAGUGCCCGAAAAUGAUGGGAAUAACAUGCGUGAGUAGGGGCUUCAUG
Molecule: long non-coding RNA, 1640 nt
Filed under: Anser cygnoides (Swan goose)
Lineage: Eukaryota; Metazoa; Chordata; Aves; Anseriformes; Anatidae
Description: lncRNA (ENSACDG00005004591.1)
Source: RNAcentral